CCUGUAGCUCAGUUGGAUAGAGCAACGGCCUUCUAAGCCGUGGGUCGGGGGUUCGAGCCCCUCCAGG
Molecule: transfer RNA, 67 nt
Filed under: mouse gut metagenome
Also listed under: 2 other names
Rfam family: tRNA
About the family: Transfer RNA (tRNA) molecules are approximately 80 nucleotides in length. Their secondary structure includes four short double-helical elements and three loops (D, anti-codon, and T loops). Further hydrogen bonds mediate the characteristic L-shaped molecular structure. tRNAs have two regions of fundamental functional importance: the anti-codon, which is responsible for specific mRNA codon recognition, and the 3' end, to which the tRNAs corresponding amino acid is attached (by aminoacyl-tRNA synthetases). tRNAs cope with the degeneracy of the genetic code in two manners: having more than one tRNA (with a specific anti-codon) for a particular amino acid; and 'wobble' base-pairing, i.e. permitting non-standard base-pairing at the 3rd anti-codon position.
Source: RNAcentral